GUAGAAAUAAGGUGAAGAGAACAGGUCCUAAAUUUAAAAAGUUUGAGUGACACUAUCUAUUUUAGUUUUCAAGCAACAAAUUCCGGCAAGUGUGGUAAAACUUUAUUUUUUCCUCCAAAACUUAAUCUUACAACAAUCAACCUCAUCUCCUUUAGAACAACUCAACCUAAAACAUAAAGUUUUUAAAAAUUAAAAAAAGGAAAGUAAUUGUGGUUUUAAUCAAGAGAUGCGUAAUGCUUCUAAAUUGAUGUUCAACUCACUUGUUUUGACUUCUUAAUUGUAUGAUCUAUCAUUUUGUGUUUUAAUUUUGGAAGGAAAAAUAAAAGUAAGCCCUAUAUGUUGGAUUUUGUUGCUGAAAAACCAAAAAGGUAGUGGCAGUAAAACUUUUUAAAUUUAGUGAGUAACUUUUUUGAUAAAAAUUUUAAGCGGUAGUUGCUGAUUAAAUGACCUAUUAGGCGGGUAAUUCCUAACUAUAUUUCUUUUAUUUUAUGAUUACAUAAAAUAAAUAAAGAUAUUAACAUGAUUAAAAAAAAAAUGGAGAUAUUAUUAAAAAGUGCAUUAGCAAUUAUGUACCUUCAAAGUAAAAGAACAAAAGAUCCAAAAUAGAGGGAGUAUUCAACAGUUCAUCAUAUGAUUUCACUUCUUAUAAUGAAGAAAAAUUGUUUGGCCGAACAAAUUAACAUGGAAAUUCAAAAUAUCCUAAUCGGGCUUAGUAAGCAAUUCAUUCUUCAGUGUAUUAAUUACUUCUACUCGUUGUCUCGCUCCACUUUUUAAAGUGUAACAAUUGACUUAGGACAUAGUUUUAGGCAUCUUAUGUUUAUUUCACCUAAUCAGUAAUCUUAAAGAAUAAAUAUAAUUGAAAAUCAGUAAAAGUAAUUUCAGUUCAGUAAAAAUAAUUUCAAUUCAGUAAAAUUAAUUUCAAUUCAAUAAAAAUAAUUUAACACUAUACAAAAAAGAGUAUUUUCUCGACGCUUGACCCUCGACGUGGGCAAGGAGAGUCAACUAUUAAAUAUACUAUGCGCAUUAUUUCGACGCUUUUCUGGGUCGAAAUUAAUUUUUGGCGCUAUAAAGCGUCGAGAAACAGUAACACGUCCCCUAUACGUGACUGUAAAACCCACUAUUGUAAAAUUUAGGGAAAAUGAAACCGCCGAACACAAACAAAAAAACCUCUAGUCUUACUGCUCAGUUGUAAACCUAACUAUUCUUCUCUCUUUAAAUCCUAAAUCUACAAAGACACUUAUGGAACUGUUGAUUCCAAACUCAGAACUUUGUUUUUCUCGCAGCAAUUUUAAAAUGAGGACUAUCAUUUUGUAAAUCAGAUUUUUGCUCCUCUUUGAAGUUAUUUCGAAUUGAGGUACAUCAAUUUCAUAUUCAGAUCUUUGUUCUUAUCAGGUUCAAAUUCGAAUUCAGUGUUAGUUUUUCGAAGGAGCUGCUGUGAAUGCUGACUUCGUUGGACUCGUUCUACUACGUUAGAGAAGCUCUUUAGGAUUCUAAAUUUUUUACAAGUGCGUGAGAGCUUUAAAAUCCUUUACUUCAUUUCAUUAUAAAGAAACUAUUGCAGGAAAGGCGGGUCUAGGGUCACAUGCUGCUAGUGGUGUCAAGGAAUAUAUGGGAGAAUGUCCAGGAAGGAAUAUUGAAUCACUUGCUUCCUUCCCAUGAAUUUAAAUUCUUAAAAAGCUUGUUUUACCUAAUGGUUUGUUCAAUCCUCUGAGGUAAAUACACGAGACUGCUUCUUCAAAGGUCCUGUUAUGGAUGGAAUAAGGUAAAACUUUGUCCCAAUAAAUUAGUCCAAAUUGAAUAAAUAACUUAUAAUUUAUUAUGAUUUCUCUUCAUUUCUUGCUGCUUGAUAGUUUAAUGAAGAUCUGGAAUUUGAACAAGUUAUCUGGGACUAUAGGAGUGGUUUACUGUUAAGGAGUAGGGAGUUGGCCAUUGAAAGAUAAUAUUCUAGAUACUUUAAUACCAGGAAUUAUUUCAGGCCAAAUCAGGCCCAAUGAUGUCGAAUUCCUUGGAAAGGUUGGUGGUGAUACCUAGCAAUGAGAUUGUGUAGUUUAUGCUUUCAAUUCUGGUAAACUUGUCAUUUAAACUUAGCAGUCUAGCAUAGCCUAAUAAACCUUCCUGAUAUGUUCAAGUAGUUGCUUGACUACUGAAUUCUCCGAAUUACAUGAUACACUACUAAAACCAUCACCAAAAUUCCAAAUAAUGGAAAAGUGGAAGUGUCAUUUGGCGUUCUGACAUGUGAAUUAUAUACAAUCUGUCCUAUAAAGGUUAGUAAUCAACAUACCCACUCCUUAUUUUCAUUUUUAGUAUCUAAGUGUGGCAAAUUUUUAUUGUUGCGGUUAUUUCUAUUGGAGGAUUACAGGUAUAAGAUUAUUGAUUAAUUUAACUGAUUUUUUUUCAUCAGACAACCUUCGGCCAGUUGCUUCCACUCUAAAUUUUCCCUUCUUCCUCCAUUCAUGAUGAACUUUGCUUUACGCCCUCUUGCAAGCAUAUUAAGGAACAGCUAAAUUGGAGAUUGAUUGAAGAUUUUUUUUGAGAAUAAAUGAGCAAAUUUCUUCCACUACAACUAGUCACGAAUCAAGUAUAAGUUGGAAUAAUAUCUAUUGUAAUAGAAAACUCAUUACUAUGAGAUAUUGUACAUAUACUAUAAUAUACCUAUAUGAAAUAAAAAGAAGUUUGGCCCUUUUUUUUUCA
Long non-coding RNA from Chenopodium quinoa (quinoa), 2691 nucleotides. RefSeq lists it as uncharacterized. The transcript is spliced from 3 exons. The record is from RefSeq and is a predicted model, not a curated record. Lineage: Eukaryota; Viridiplantae; Streptophyta; Magnoliopsida; Caryophyllales; Amaranthaceae.